This 1399-nucleotide ribosomal RNA is filed under the name Streptococcus sp. 2010_Ileo_MS_Ie. RNAcentral describes it as "bacterial SSU rRNA". It matches the Rfam family "Bacterial small subunit ribosomal RNA". The record is from RNAcentral. Lineage: Bacteria; Bacillati; Bacillota; Bacilli; Lactobacillales; Streptococcaceae.
GCUGAAGAGAGGAGCUUGCUCUUCUUGGAUGAGUUGCGAACGGGUGAGUAACGCGUAGGUAACCUGCCUUGUAGCGGGGGAUAACUAUUGGAAACGAUAGCUAAUACCGCAUAACAAUGGAUGACACAUGUCAUUUAUUUGAAAGGGGCAAUUGCUCCACUACAAGAUGGACCUGCGUUGUAUUAGCUAGUAGGUGAGGUAACGGCUCACCUAGGCGACGAUACAUAGCCGACCUGAGAGGGUGAUCGGCCACACUGGGACUGAGACACGGCCCAGACUCCUACGGGAGGCAGCAGUAGGGAAUCUUCGGCAAUGGGGGCAACCCUGACCGAGCAACGCCGCGUGAGUGAAGAAGGUUUUCGGAUCGUAAAGCUCUGUUGUAAGUCAAGAACGAGUGUGAGAGUGGAAAGUUCACACUGUGACGGUAGCUUACCAGAAAGGGACGGCUAACUACGUGCCAGCAGCCGCGGUAAUACGUAGGUCCCGAGCGUUGUCCGGAUUUAUUGGGCGUAAAGCGAGCGCAGGCGGUUUGAUAAGUCUGAAGUUAAAGGCUGUGGCUCAACCAUAGUUCGCUUUGGAAACUGUCAAACUUGAGUGCAGAAGGGGAGAGUGGAAUUCCAUGUGUAGCGGUGAAAUGCGUAGAUAUAUGGAGGAACACCGGUGGCGAAAGCGGCUCUCUGGUCUGUAACUGACGCUGAGGCUCGAAAGCGUGGGGAGCGAACAGGAUUAGAUACCCUGGUAGUCCACGCCGUAAACGAUGAGUGCUAGGUGUUGGAUCCUUUCCGGGAUUCAGUGCCGCAGCUAACGCAUUAAGCACUCCGCCUGGGGAGUACGACCGCAAGGUUGAAACUCAAAGGAAUUGACGGGGGCCCGCACAAGCGGUGGAGCAUGUGGUUUAAUUCGAAGCAACGCGAAGAACCUUACCAGGUCUUGACAUCCCGAUGCUAUUUCUAGAGAUAGAAAGUUACUUCGGUACAUCGGUGACAGGUGGUGCAUGGUUGUCGUCAGCUCGUGUCGUGAGAUGUUGGGUUAAGUCCCGCAACGAGCGCAACCCCUAUUGUUAGUUGCCAUCAUUCAGUUGGGCACUCUAGCGAGACUGCCGGUAAUAAACCGGAGGAAGGUGGGGAUGACGUCAAAUCAUCAUGCCCCUUAUGACCUGGGCUACACACGUGCUACAAUGGUUGGUACAACGAGUUGCGAGUCGGUGACGGCAAGCUAAUCUCUUAAAGCCAAUCUCAGUUCGGAUUGUAGGCUGCAACUCGCCUACAUGAAGUCGGAAUCGCUAGUAAUCGCGGAUCAGCACGCCGCGGUGAAUACGUUCCCGGGCCUUGUACACACCGCCCGUCACACCACGAGAGUUUGUAACACCCGAAGUCGGUGAGGUAACCUUNNGAGCCAG